Molecule: ribosomal RNA, 1498 nt
Filed under: metagenome
Description: bacterial LSU rRNA
Rfam family: Bacterial large subunit ribosomal RNA
Source: RNAcentral
AAAUAUUCCUGUACCGAUGUGUAGUGCGAUGUGGGGACGGAGAAGGUUAGCUCAGCCAACUGUUGGAUAUGUUGGUUCAAGCCUGUAGUCGUGCCUGGUAGGUAAAUCCGCCGGGCUUAGAUGAGGGGUGAUAACGAGGCUGCUUGCAGUCGAAGUGAGUGAUACCCUGCUUCCAGGAAAAGCCACUAAGCUUCAGCUACACACGACCGUACCGCAAACCGACACUGGUGCGCGAGAUGAGUAUUCUAAGGCGCUUGAGAGAACUCAGGAGAAGGAACUCGGCAAAUUGACACCGUAACUUCGGAAGAAGGUGUGCCUUUAGUAGGUGAACCUGUACAAGGGGAGCCCAAUGAGGCUGCAAAAAAUCGGUGGCUGCGACUGUUUAAUAAAAACACAGCACUCUGCAAACACGAAAGUGGACGUAUAGGGUGUGACGCCUGCCCGGUGCUGGAAGAUUAAAUGAUGGGGUGCAAGCUCUUGAUUGAAGUCCCAGUAAACGGCGGCCGUAACGAUAACGGUCCUAAGGUAGCGAAAUUCCUUGUCGGGUAAGUUCCGACCUGCACGAAUGGCGUAACGAUGGCCACACUGUCUCCUCCUGAGACUCAGCGAAGUUGAAAUGUUUGUGAUGAUGCAAUCUCCCCGCGGAAAGACGGAAAGACCCCAUGAACCUUUACUGUAGCUUUGUAUUGGACUUUGAACAGAUCUGUGUAGGAUAGGUGGGAGGCUUUGAAGUGUGGUCGCUAGAUCGCAUGGAGCCAACGUUGAAAUACCACCCUGGUGUGUUUGAGGUUCUAACCUAGGCCCGUAAUCCGGGUCGGGGACAGUGCAUGGUAGGCAGUUUGACUGGGGCGGUCUCCUCCCAAAGCGUAACGGAGGAGUUCGAAGGUACGCUAGGUACGGUCGGACAUCGUGCUAAUAGUGCAAUGGCAUAAGCGUGCUUAACUGCGAGACUGACAAGUCGAGCAGAUGCGAAAGCAGGACAUAGUGAUCCGGUGGUUCUGUAUGGAAGGGCCAUCGCUCAACGGAUAAAAGGUACUCUGGGGAUAACAGGCUGAUACCGCCCAAGAGUUCAUAUCGACGGCGGUGUUUGGCACCUCGAUGUCGGCUCAUCUCAUCCUGGGGCUGUAGCCGGUCCCAAGGGUAUGGCUGUUCGCCAUUUAAGGAGGUACGUGAGCUGGGUUUAAAACGUCGUGAGACAGUUUGGUCCCUAUCUUCCGUGGGCGCUGCAGAUUUGAGGAAGCCUGCUCCUAGUACGAGAGGACCGGAGUGGACACACCUCUGGUGUAUCGGUUGUCACGCCAGUGGCAUUGCCGAGUAGCUAUGUGUGGAAGAGAUAACCGCUGAAAGCAUCUAAGCGGGAAACUCGUUUCAAGAUGAGAUCUGCCGGGGCCUUGAGCCCCCUAAAGAGUCGUUCAAGACCAGGACGUUGAUAGGUCGGGUGUGGAAGCGCAGUAAUGCGUUAAGCUAACCGAUACUAAUUGCUCGUGCGGCUUGACCG